UUACGCAUCAACCAAUACAACCAUGGCUUCGCCGGCGUUAACAGGCGGUUACCGGAACCUUACUGCGCCGGUAUCUCUCCUGCGCACUUUAGCAUCUACCCGUAUCACUAAUCCUUUGUAUCAUUCCAAAGAACUUCAUUACAGACAGUCUCCGAGUUUCAUUUCUUCUUCAAAGAGAUUAACUUGCUUGGCAUUACUUCAAACCAAUUCACCGAAUCAAACCACACUCUCCUCUUCUUCCACUACUGGAUGCAUUGAAUACACUCGAUUGAUGCCAUGUCCUGCACAGAGCUAUCCUUUUAGAAUUGAGCACAUGGUUGUUUUAGAAGACGUUCUUGUGGCUGAUUAUAUCUGUAAAAAAUUGGAUCUUCCUCCUUUGUAUGUUGCAGAUCUUAUCCAAUUUGGAGCUAUACAUUACGCUCUUGUAUGCCCUAAACCUCCACCUACUGCGACUCCUGAGCAAAUCAAACUGUUUGAAGAAGUAACUUCUCCUUCUGUACUAAGCAAGAGAUCUUCCAUCAAAGGAAAAACUGUUAGAGAAGCUCAGAAAACGUUUCGUGUGACUCAUACCAAUCAGUAUGUCGAAGCUGGGACUUACUUGCGUGUGCACGUGCACCCUAAACGCUCCCCAAGGUGUUAUGAGAUUGAUUGGAAGUCACGGAUUAUUGCGGUGACUGACUCUUACGUCGUUUUGGAUAAACCUGCCGGCACUACGGUUGGGGGAACCAUGGAUAACAUCGAAGAGACCUGUGCCACAUUUGCCUCACGUGCAUUAGAUUUGCCAGAGCCACUGAAAACAACACAUCAGGUUGAUAAUUGCACAGAGGGCUGUGUUGUCUUUGCUAGAACAAAAGAGUAUUGCCCGGUCUUCCACACGAAAAUAAAAAAUAAAGAAGUAAAGAAACUUUAUCGUGCUCUUGCUGCGGCACCUCUUCCCAGUGGAGUUAUCUCACAUUAUAUGCGCCCAGUCAAUAGGGCUCCAAGACUCGUAUCCGAAGAUCCGAUCAAAGGUUGGCACUUGUGUCAGCUUGAGAUUCUAGAGUGUAAGAAGAUUCCUUGGCCCGAUGCAGCUACUGAGGCAAAACAAGAUAUUGAUGACUGUGGAUGGACUUCAAAAGAAUUUGCUUACGAAUGUACAAUAAACCUUUUAACAGGAAAGACUCACCAGAUCAGGGCUCAGCUUGCAGCUUGUGGGGCACCAUUGGUUGGUGACUCUAUGUACAUGCCAGCUGCAAUAGCAGAGACGGCUAAUCCUGAGAUUAACCCUUAUGGGAAAGCAAAGAAACAUUACACAAUGGAGGAGAACGAUAAGGAAACCGCUGUUGCGGAAUGGAUUGAUAUGCAUGGGAAGGAACCGAGGGUAGGAAUCGGUCUUCAAGCUUGUCAAAUCUCGUGGGAAGAUGAUGAUGGAGAACAUUUUUAUGAAGCUGGGACUCCUUGGUGGAGAUGAGAAACACGUCCUGAUGUUGAUGUUCUUAUCUAAACUUGCUUCAGCAAAUGAGUGGCAUCAUCGUUUUGGGAUUGAGCUCUGUGCUGGAAAAUGAAGUUCUUGUACCAAGAAGCCGAGAGUCUUGGGGUUCUCUCUAGAGUAUUGAAGUCGACAUGGUAUAGACCGAACCUUAUGGUAUAACCAGAUAUCCACUCGAAGUUGUCCAGUAAAGACCAUGUGAAGUACCCUCUUAUAUCUGCACCUUUCCU
Molecule: RNA transcript, 1698 nt
Organism: Eutrema salsugineum
Lineage: Eukaryota; Viridiplantae; Streptophyta; Magnoliopsida; Brassicales; Brassicaceae
Gene name: RNA pseudouridine synthase 6, chloroplastic
Exons: 10
Source: RefSeq, a predicted model, not a curated record